RNAcentral lists this ribosomal RNA (413 nucleotides) under Heterodesmus apriculus. RNAcentral describes it as "partial large subunit ribosomal RNA". The stretch from base 67 to 413 matches the Rfam family "Bacterial large subunit ribosomal RNA", at positions 2049 to 2608 of the family's 2925-position model. The record is from RNAcentral. Lineage: Eukaryota; Metazoa; Arthropoda; Ostracoda; Myodocopida; Cypridinidae.
UGGGGACUGGAAUGAAUGGGCUAAUUAGGAAUAGACUUUUUUAUUAGUAAUAACUUAAUUUUAUUAUCAAGUUAAAAGGCUUGGUUAAUGUAGAGAGACAAGAAGACCCUAAGAUUUUUACAGGGUAGUUGUUUAUUGGCUUGUGUGGCAGUAAAGAGGGUGAGUGAUUAUUUUGUUUAGCUGGGGCGGUUGGAAUAUUGUCUAUUUUGUAAUUUACUUUAAUGAUAGUAUUGUGUAUAUUAUUAUCCUUGUUGGAAGACAUGAUAAAUUACCUUAGGGAUAACAGCAUAAUCUUUUCUGAGAGACCGUAUUGACGAAGAGGUUUGUGACCUCGAUGUUGGAUUUGAAUAACUUUUAGGGGCAGCACUUGUAAAAGUUGGUCUGUUCGACCAUUAAAUCUCAACAUGAUUUGA